CUACGUGCCAGCAGCCGCGGUAAUACGUAGGGCGCGAGCGUUGUCCGGAAUUAUUGGGCGUAAAGAGCUUGUAGGCGGUUUGUCGCGUCUGCUGUGAAAGGCCGGGGCUUAACCCCGUGUAUUGCAGUGGGUACGGGCAGACUAGAGUGCAGUAGGGGAGACUGGAAUUCCUGGUGUAGCGGUGGAAUGCGCAGAUAUCAGGAGGAACACCGAUGGCGAAGGCAGGUCUCUGGGCUGUAACUGACGCUGAGAAGCGAAAGCAUGGGGAGCGAACAGGAUUAGAUACCCUGGUAGUCCAUGCCGUAAACGUUGGGCACUAGGUGUGGGGGACAUUCCACGUUUUCCGCGCCGUAGCUAACGCAUUAAGUGCCCCGCCUGGGGAGYACGGCCGCAAGGCUAAAACUCAAAGAAAUUGACGGGGGCCCGCACAAGCGGCGGAGCAUGCGGAUUAAUUCGAUGCAACGCGAAGAACCUUACCAAG
RNAcentral lists this ribosomal RNA (481 nucleotides) under uncultured bacterium. RNAcentral's name for it is "bacterial SSU rRNA". It matches the Rfam family "Bacterial small subunit ribosomal RNA", at positions 501 to 978 of the family's 1533-position model. The record is from RNAcentral.